This 484-nucleotide ribosomal RNA is filed under the name uncultured bacterium. RNAcentral describes it as "partial 16S ribosomal RNA". It matches the Rfam family "Bacterial small subunit ribosomal RNA", at positions 28 to 523 of the family's 1533-position model. The record is from RNAcentral.
GACGAACGCUGGCGGCGUGCUUAACACAUGCAAGUCGAACGAUGAAGCUGGAGCUUGCUCCGGUGGAUUAGUGGCGAACGGGUGAGUAACACGUGAGAAAUCUGCCCUUCACUCUGGGAUAACUGCGGGAAACUGUAGCUAAUACCGGAUACCUUGCCUGGUGGGCAUCCACUAGGGAAGAAAGAAUUGCGGUGAAGGAUGAUCUCGCGGCCUACCAGCUAGUUGGUGAGGUAAUGGCUCACGAAGGCGACGACGGGCAGACGGACUGAGAGGGUGAACGGCCACACUGGGACUGAGACACGGCCCAGAGUCCUACGGGAGGCAGCAGUGGGGAAUAUUGCACAAUGGGCGAAAGUCUGAUGCAGCAACGCCGCGUGAGGGAUGAAGGCCUUCGGGUUGUAAACCUCUUUUAGCAGGGAAGAAGCGAAAGUGACGGUACCUGCAGAAAAAGCACCGGCUAACUACGUGCCAGCAGCCGCGGUAA